RNAcentral lists this ribosomal RNA (377 nucleotides) under uncultured cyanobacterium. RNAcentral's name for it is "bacterial SSU rRNA". It matches the Rfam family "Bacterial small subunit ribosomal RNA", at positions 376 to 770 of the family's 1533-position model. The record is from RNAcentral. Lineage: Bacteria; Bacillati; Cyanobacteriota.
CGCAAGCCUGACGGAGCAAGACCGCGUGGGGGAUGACGGCCUAAUGGUUGUAAACCGCUUUUCUCUGGGAAGAUGAUGACGGUACCAGAGGAAUCAGCCUCGGCUAACUCCGUGCCAGCAGCCGCGGUAAUACGGAGGAGGCAAGCGUUAUCCGGAAUUAUUGGGCGUAAAGCGUCCGUAGGUGGUUAUUCAAGUCUGCUGUCAAAGCGGGGGGCUUAACUCCAUAGAGGCAGUGGAAACUGAGUGACUAGAGUGCGGUAGGGGUCGAGGGAAUUCCCAGUGUAGCGGUGAAAUGCGUAGAUAUUGGGAAGAACACCAGUGGCGAAAGCGCUCGACUGGGCCUGCACUGACACUGAGGGACGAAAGCUAGGGGAGCG